UACAGAGAUCUCAAGCGUUGUUCGGAUUCAUUGGGCGUAAAGGGUGCGUAGGCGGCGCGGUAAGUCGGGUGUGAAAUCUCGGAGCUUAACUCCGAAACUGCAUUCGAUACUGCCGUGCUUGAGGACUGGAGAGGAGACUGGAAUUUACGGUGUAGCGGUGAAAUGCGUAGAUAUCGUAAGGAAGACCAGUGGCGAAGGCGGGUCUCUGGACAGUUCCUGACGCUGAGGCACGAAGGUCAGGGGAGCAAACGGG
This 253-nucleotide ribosomal RNA is filed under the name uncultured bacterium. Its description in RNAcentral is "partial 16S ribosomal RNA". It matches the Rfam family "Bacterial small subunit ribosomal RNA", at positions 524 to 776 of the family's 1533-position model. The record is from RNAcentral.